ACUUAAGGGCUUUCACAAAACUCCAUCUCCUUGCCACAUAUUGGACAAUUUUCACUUCUUUCCAACCAUUCAUAAAUACAACCAAGAUGGAAAUGGUGGGAGCAUCUUGUUGUGAUUUUGGGAUUUUCUGGAGUGUAUUCGUCAAGACAAGUAGGGCAGACAUCUUCAUCUUCAAAAGACUGUUGCACAUAAGACAGUCCAUAUGUAACUUUUGUUUCCAGAGCUUUUUCUGAGGACUCUGAAUGACUCAGUUUAUAGUCUUCCUCCAAAUCAACCCCAUUCCAUUUCUUCCCAAAACCAGAUGAUUCCAUGCCAGAAUUGCUCAUAUUUCUCCUCAAUGGUUGUGAUUCUUCUUGAAAAUGAGUCAUUGACUUUCUAGAUACUAAACCAUCUCGCUGUAAACGAGUGUAUCUUUGGUCAGCAUCAUAAGGGACUGGCCUGGUUAAUGAGACAUGAGUAUCACUAAUGGAACCAUCUGGUAAUCCCGUGCCAACUCCUGUUGAUGUCAAAGAAGUACCUCCUUCGAUUGAAGAUAUUGGCCGACCUUCAAGUCUAUGAAACAUUGCACCAUACCCACUGAGUAACUGGUGGAAAAAGAAUCUUAGGCAGAUGCAGUGCCUAUAUAUUGAAUUGCCAGCAUAAGCAUAUUCUUCAAAUUCAUCACUGCAAGGACAGCAGCAGAAGGCACCCAUAUCUGUGCUUUAAAAAUAUAUCGUAAGGAAUGAAUUGUUGCCAGCUACGAAGCAAUCAACCAGGACUAUAUCUUCAGUGUUUC
Molecule: unclassified non-coding RNA, 775 nt
Filed under: Hevea brasiliensis (rubber tree)
Lineage: Eukaryota; Viridiplantae; Streptophyta; Magnoliopsida; Malpighiales; Euphorbiaceae
Source: RNAcentral